ACGAUAAUUUCGCUUUAGCUGCUGCCUAAUUAGGCGGCCCGUCAGUCCGGGGUUCCUGCACCUCGGGUAGCUGGCGUCAUUAAGUCAGGCCUUUUGCAUAGGAAGGUUAAAUGCUAGAACUACUGCAGCAGUAGCCUUGAACUGUAGUGGAAUUUAAAGGCUACCAAUAUCUGAAGCGUGUCAUUGGGCGUCAGGUUGAGGGAAUACUAAAAUAAGGACUGCACCCGGAGAAGUUCUUGUGGAUGUGGUUUCGGACAGGGGUUCGACUCCCCUCGCCUCCACCA
This 284-nucleotide transfer-messenger RNA is filed under the name Clostridiaceae bacterium. RNAcentral's name for it is "partial transfer-messenger RNA". It matches the Rfam family "transfer-messenger RNA", at positions 97 to 374 of the family's 374-position model. Rfam says of the family: Bacterial tmRNA, also known as 10Sa RNA or SsrA, is named for its dual tRNA and mRNA-like properties. Its role is to liberate the mRNA from a stalled ribosome. The record is from RNAcentral. Lineage: Bacteria; Bacillati; Bacillota; Clostridia; Eubacteriales; Clostridiaceae.